UGCCCACUGCAGUGAGGCUUCUGGGCCAUA
Molecule: non-coding RNA, 30 nt
Filed under: Homo sapiens (human)
Lineage: Eukaryota; Metazoa; Chordata; Mammalia; Primates; Hominidae
Source: RNAcentral